This 250-nucleotide long non-coding RNA is filed under the name Elaeis guineensis (African oil palm). RNAcentral's name for it is "long non-coding RNA (EGUI_LNC047232)". Lineage: Eukaryota; Viridiplantae; Streptophyta; Magnoliopsida; Arecales; Arecaceae. The record is from RNAcentral.
CGGGUACCAUUGCUAGAUGGUCACUUUGAUUGGUAUAAAAAUUUACUCCUAUGCUACUGACUUAGGUUCGGACCUAUGAGGUCACACACAUUAGAGUUCAUGAUCCGAUCAGAUGGUUGAUCAACGAUUAAGAAUCAUUCUAGGGUUAAAUGAUCAAUACGAUUGACAUUUAACCCAGUGCAAGUGUUGUAGGAGGAUCGAUUAGCAAUUUGAUUGCUACUUGGCUUAAUUUGAUUAAGCCAAUGGGUUG